GGGAGCGAGGUGUAAUGGUUUGCAUACGUGCCUUGGACGUACGGGGAGAAGUUCGAUUCUUACGUUCCCG
Molecule: transfer RNA, 70 nt
Filed under: Candidatus Riesia sp.
Lineage: Bacteria; Pseudomonadati; Pseudomonadota; Gammaproteobacteria; Enterobacterales; Enterobacteriaceae
Description: tRNA-Pro
Source: RNAcentral